CCUACGGGUGGCAGCAGUGGGGAAUAUUGCACAAUGGGGGAAACCCUGAUGCAGCGACGCCGCGUGAGUGAAGAAGUAACUCGUUAUGUAAAGCUCUAUCAGUAGGGAAGUAAAUGAUGGUACCUGUGCAAGAAGCCCUGGCCAACUACGUGCCAGCAGCCGCGGUAAUACGGAGGGGGCAAGCGUUAUCCGGAUUUACUGGGUGUAAAGGGAGCGUAGACGGCAGUGCAAGUCCGGAGUGAAAGGCGGGGGCUCAACCCCCGGACUGCUCUGGAAACUGUACGGCUGGAGUACAGGAGAGGUAAGGGGAAUUCGUGGUGUAGCGGUGAAAUGCGUAGAUAUUAGGAAGAACCCCAGUGGCGAAGGCGGCUUACUAGACUGUAACUGACGUUGAGGCUCGAAAGCGUGGGGAGCAAACAGGAUUAGAUACCCGAGUAGUC
This 440-nucleotide ribosomal RNA is filed under the name uncultured bacterium. RNAcentral describes it as "partial 16S ribosomal RNA". It matches the Rfam family "Bacterial small subunit ribosomal RNA", at positions 338 to 795 of the family's 1533-position model. The record is from RNAcentral.